Non-coding RNA from Chlorocebus sabaeus (green monkey), 5171 nucleotides. Lineage: Eukaryota; Metazoa; Chordata; Mammalia; Primates; Cercopithecidae. The record is from RefSeq and is a predicted model, not a curated record.
UCUCCCGGCUCCCCGCGCUCUCAACCGCCCGCGCCUGCUGCCAGGCAGCGGCUGGGAUGGCAAGCAGCGGAGGCGAGGCGGUGACGAGAGCAGCGGGUCCGCCAUUGGACGAGGAGGCCUGAGGGACGGGCCAGCGGUGCACAAGGAGAGACCGAGGCGGGUGGCCCCGAGAGAACCAAGGCCAUGGAGGCCAACAUGCCGAAGCGGAAGGAGCCCGGCAGGUCUCUCCGCAUCAAAGUCAUCUCCAUGGGCAACGCCGAAGUGGGGAAAAGCUGUAUUAUAAAGCGAUACUGUGAGAAAAGAUUCGUGUCUAAAUACCUGGCAACAAUUGGAAUUGACUAUGGAGUUACAAAGGUACACGUCAGAGACAGAGAAAUCAAAGUUAACAUCUUUGAUAUGGCUGGACAUCCCUUCUUCUAUGAGGUUCGAAAUGAGUUUUACAAGGACACACAGGGUGUGAUACUGGUCUAUGAUGUUGGGCAGAAAGACUCCUUUGACGCCCUUGAUGCAUGGCUGGCAGAAAUGAAGCAAGAGCUUGGACCUCAUGGAAACAUGGAAAAUAUUAUAUUUGUAGUUUGUGCCAACAAGAUUGAUUGUACCAAACACCGCUGUGUAGAUGAAAGUGAAGGACGUCUUUGGGCUGAAAGCAAAGGGUUCCUGUACUUUGAAACUUCAGCACAAACUGGAGAAGGCAUUAAUGAGAUGUUCCAGCCCAGCCUUUGGCCACAGACUCAUGAGAGACCCCCAUAUGGACUUGGUGCCCAGCUCUGCACAGCUCUCUUCUCUCCAAUGGCCUGCUUUGCAGAUUCUAGCCACCUCCUCAGCUCAAUGAGACUUGUGUCUGCUCAGACUCCAGCUCUCUGUGACGUGGUCAGGAAAUGGACUCCAAGUAGACAACCAGACCUUUUAUGUAUCCAUAGUUGAUUUAUGUGAAAAUGGCGGGAAACGCCCUACCACAAAUAGCAGUGCUAGUUUCACCAAAGAACAAGCAGAUGCCAUUCGCAGAAUUCGAAAUAGUAAAGACAGUUGGGACAUGCUGGGAGUCAAACCUGGGGCCUCAAGGGAUGAAGUCAAUAAAGCGUAUCGGAAACUUGCUGUGCUGCUUCACCCUGACAAAUGUGUAGCACCUGGCAGUGAAGAUGCCUUCAAAGCAGUUGUGAAUGCUCGGACAGCCCUCCUGAAAAACAUCAAGUAGAAAGUAGAGAAAAAAGCCACGUGUGGGACUCAAAUGCAAACAGACUUUCCCUAGAGGUGAAAUAACCAACAUGGAGUUUUCCUUCCCAGAAUCUCACUGCUCUUUUCAUUCAUGUGUUGUCAUUUGUAUAUCAGUAAUUCAGGUGCCCAUUUCAUAGACAUUUUACUGAGAAAUGACCUGCAUUUGUAUGAAGUGAAGAGAACUGAGCGUCGCUUACUUCAUUUCAUAUUUCUAGAUAAUCUGAUUUUUUUCCUCAUUCGUCAGCUCUGUAAUUAUAGUAUCCCUUAGACAUUUCACUUGGGGAAAUCCACGAGGUUCCUGGAGGUAGGGAAGAGAGGACAAGAGGACCCUUUCACUUUUUGUUUUUUACUGAAUUCCUCAUCAGAGAAGAAAAUAACAAAAAUGGAAGCAAACAACAUCAGAAUCCCUGUAAGUUUGGUGUGACCUUACAGAGAAGUUGCUGCUUUUACGAUGAGUUCCUUAGGUGAUAUUUUAACCAUUGAUCUGUAAUGAUGACUCUUGGCAGCCCUUUGGGAGUUUGUAAAAUGAGGUGAUACAGUUCUGAAUUGAGCAAUCCUUUAUGAUAUUCACCCUGUUCCUCUUCUGCAGCCACCAGGGGGAGAGACAAUACAGUCCUAAGAGAAAAGGUGGUGGUAGCCACAAAUUCUAGGUACACUAGCUGCUGCUCAUCCUGUCCCUGGAUCUGAGGCCUUUCCCUUGCCAUAGAAAUGGUUGCUGGUAGCAGUAGAGAGCAUUGUGUACUUGGGAAUGAGGAAUCAGACCCCAAGACAGAAGUACUUGCAGGAGCUAGGUGCAGUAGUAUCUGUCUGUAGUCCCAGCUACUCAGGCUGAGACAGGAGGAUUGCUUGAGCCCAGGAGCUCAAGUCCCACCUGGGCAACAUAGUAACACCUUGUGUCUUAAAAAAAAAAAAGAUACUUACAAGUCGCACUUGAAGAUUAUGCACAUCGGCAGAGGAAAAGGCCAGCCAAGCUCAGGGCAAGCUUGAUGCAGUAGGAGAGACUCCCCGUGAGGCUUAGCCUUUGUCUUAUUGCCAGCCUUUGCCACAGGCAGGUGAGAAAGGCAGGGCCACUCCUCAGCAAAGCUGGCCUCUUCUGCACUUCCUCACCAGUCUUGUUUCUUCCUUUUUUCCCCUCUUCCCCUUCCCCUCUUGUGUUUUUUCUGAACCCCACAUCUGCCAUCGUUUCUCUCCUCUUGAGUCCCUGGCUUCUGGCCACUGCCUCCUCCCUCUUCUAAGCCUUGACCUGAACCUGGUUGACCAGAGACAAGUGUGGAUCCUUUGGGUGGCAGUCAGGGGAAAUCUCAGGGCCUUUAUUGGGAGGAAUCUCUGUAAUUCCUGUUUGGGCUCCAAAUUUCUGAAGAGUAGUAUUUGUAAACUAUAGCUUACAAAAUACAUUCUCUGGCCACAGUCUCCUCCUUGGUAUACAAGGGAUGGAUGAAGUUCCCGUAUUAGGACUGGCACUCCUUACGGUGCUUAUAGAGCCAAUCUCACCACUUGACUCAUUACGUCAUCACUCUUGUUACAUCAUAUUUUUAGCUACAGCCACAUUAACUAACAUUUUUAUAUACUUUCAAUUAGCUGUACUAAUUGGGGCUUGAAAGUAUAUAAAAUCUUCCUAUCCUGUGGAUUUUAAAAAGCUAUCCCAUAUCGGUAGAUAUUAAAAAGCAUCUACCUUACCACCUAAGAAGAAAAGCCACUCUCUUCCAAUCCAAGCCCCUGCAGUCUUGUGGAUUUUCCACACAGCAGCUUUUCACUGUAUGCCUGUACUCGUGCUGCACUGAGCUUGUCAUCAGGAAACCAGAACAUUGCUUUAUCAUAGCACUUUUCAUCUUGGUAAUAUCAAAACAACUUUAUAAAUGAACUGAUUGAUAUAUGUUAUUUCUUGCAAGAUUUUCCUCUGGCCUUUAACUGGCUUCUGAGGCUACAGAACUCCAACCCAGAGUUCUUCAGGACUUAAAUUUUGCUUAAGGAAGGCCUUUAUCAUGCUGAAAGCACUCAGACAUGUCUGCCCUCACAGCAGAAUGUAGAAGUCAUAUGAAUGAGGGAUCAUACAUGGUAGUGUUAGCCCAAAUUGACGUGACAACUCACUGAAUGUGUGGCCCUGUAUAAAAGCCGGUGCCGGUUUUCAUCACUGUUAUUACAUAAUAGAUUGGGAACCUCAUUCAGCCGUAUUGCACAGAUGAGCAAUUAUAGCAGAGAAAAUUCAUUAGUGCUUCCACUCACAUCCUUAUGUGUGAGUUGGUGAAAUUUAGCCUGAGCUUGAUUCUUAGGUCUUGGGACUCAGUUUCCAACCUUCGUAUUAAUGCUAAGAAUGGCCAUAUACCACUUCAUUUACGUAAAAGGAAUAAAAUAAGCAAGUUAAGCUUCAGGGUCCUAGAAUUUUUCUGACUCCUAUAAUCCUUCGGCAGAAUAUGAAGAAAUAACAAAGCAUGAUCUGCAAUGGAAAGGUUUUUUUUUUGGCACUAACUUCAUGCAAAAUUUCACAGACAUCUAUGCAUUAAUUUAAAUUCUUGGUGCAAAUGUGUGCUUUGUAGUUCAACCUUAUUAAAAAUUCUUCAGCCAGUUAGGAUUUCAAAAUACAUUAGUGAGAGUAACAGCUAGCAGAAUAAUUACAAUGGCUAAAACGUUUUUAUAGAGGAUCUUGUUUUUCAAAAAAGAAUAAAAAGUUUGAAUAGCUAUUAUUAAAGAAAAGCCAUGUCUUCAACAUCUGAGUCACCAAGAAGUAACACUUUUUAAACUUGUUAGAAAUCCCUGGAGGCAUUUUAAAUUCAUCUUCUAACCUACCUAAGCACUUUAAAAUACAGGCUCCUUCUGUUCCUCUGUUCCCCUUCAUGCCUCCUUUUGAAUUGAUAUCUCAGCUGUCAAUAUUUCUUUGACUUCAGCAUUGUCAUUUUAUUUCUCUAUAUCAAUGUAUCCUUAGUUUUGUUAGCCUGUUAAUUUAAAAGUCCAGACUUGGGGGUCAUUGUGUUGCUACCCAAGAGAAAAUGCUAUGGUUCUAUAGAUUGCACAUCAUUCUUUAAGGCAUACAUUUACCUCAGGAAACUUACUCUAGUAUGUUCUCAUAUACUGAAUUCUCAACUGAGUAAUUAUUUCUUUAUACCUAUAAACUAGUACCUAAUUCACUGUUAGUUAAACGAGCCAUAGAUAAGGCAGCUAAAUUUCUGAAAGAUAGCCAGAGUAAGUAAGCAGCCACUGCAAGCUCUGAAUCAGUUUCAAAAAAAAAGAAGAAAAAAAAAAAAAAGGAGCUGCGCCCCAUAGAACAAUGACAGCAUCACAAGGGGAAGGGAGGGAUUUUGCCAAAAGUUAGAAAGGGUGGAGCUGUAAGCCAUGUGCAUGGUGCCUUUGACAGUGACAGUGCCCCCUUACAACUAAUUCCACUAGGCAUGGGAAUGUCGCCUCCUUUGCCACUGUACCCCAUCAAGCUUACUCUGAAUCAAAUUUUUGUAAAACUUGAAAAUGAACUUAGCUGCAAAAUAUAGCUAACCACCUAUCAUUGCAAGCUUUGCAAAGCAAAGAGAGGUUCGUACUUCUCAUAAUUGGUAUUUAGCACAAUUGUAAGACACAGUUUUACUGUUUGUUCAUUGUUUUUUUCCAUUAAACUUUUCUAGAGAAGACAAAAGCUUACACUUCUGACAUGGAUAAGUGAGAUGGUGUCUAACGAGCAGUGCAAUAUUAGGCGGUGCAAUAGAGGCCCUGUUGGCGAGAUGAGUUUUGCUGGAGAGCUGGACGGUGUUGGUUAGCUUCCUGCAUUGAUUGCCCCUGGGCAUUCUUCCCCCUUAACUGUGAAAGCAGAGUCUAUAAACUCUUUACUCUUACAAGGUAAUUUACAUAUUUUCUUUCUGUUGAAAUAACUGAAAAUGUUAAAUCUACCAGUUGUUUAUGUCUUGUAAACAGAGUGUCAUAUGUAUUUAAGUUGUGUAUUUUUAUAAAGUAAAGCCAAAUAUCAAGUAAAGCCA